Molecule: ribosomal RNA, 395 nt
Filed under: uncultured bacterium
Lineage: Bacteria
Description: bacterial SSU rRNA
Rfam family: Bacterial small subunit ribosomal RNA
Source: RNAcentral
AUUGAACGCUGGCGGAAUGCUUUACACAUGCAAGUCGAACGGUAACGCGGGGCAACCUGGCGACGAGUGGCGAACGGGUGAGUAAUGCAUCGGAACGUAUCCGAUAGUGGGGGAUAGCUCGGCGAAAGCCGGAUUAAUACCGCAUACGAUCUACGGAUGAAAGCGGGGGCUCGCAAGACCUCGCGCUGACGGAGCGGCCGAUGUCAGAUUAGGUUGUUGGCGGGGUAAAAGCCUACCAAGCCUGCGAUCUGUAGCUGGUCUGAGAGGGCGACCAGCCACACUGGGACUGAGACACGGCCCAGACUCCUACGGGAGGCAGCAGUGGGGAAUUUUGGACAAUGGGCGCAAGCCUGAUCCAGCCAUGCCGCGUGCGGGAAGAAGGCCUCGGUGUAACG